CAGCACAGGUAUCGAUGUCAGCUAUCGAUACUGCGUAGCAUCAGCGUCGUAUCAAUGAUCAGUGCUGACGAUGACUCACUGUCGACACGAUCAGUUCGUAUGUAGAUCGAGAUCGUGCUAGCGCCUGACGAGCUAGUAGUGUAGCUCGACAGCAGAUAACUGUGUCAGCGUACGAGUACUGAGUCGUCAUAGCUGCUCGACUACGUAGUCGACGCUAGAGUACGCGCAGCUAGCUCACGAUGACUAGCGACAGCGUGAGCAUGUGUGAUCGAUGCACGCGAGACUACUGUCUGACAUCACGAGUUCAGAGAUGAGAUGUGCUCAGACGUGAGACAGUGCUGCAUGCUGUCGUCAGCUCGUGUGUGAAUGUGGUCAGUCCGCACGAGCGCAUCCAUAUCCUUGUGCAGCAGUCGUCGGACUCAAGGAGACUGCCAGUGAUAAACUGGAGGAAGGUGGAGAUGACGUCAAGUCAUCAUGGCCCUUACGACCAGGGCUACACACGUGCUACAAUGGCGCAUACAGAGAGAAGCGACCUCGCGAGAGCAAGCGGACCUCAUAAAGUGCGUCGUAGUCCGGAUUGGAGUCUGCAACUCGACUCCAUGAAGUCGGAAUCGCUAGUAAUCGUGGAUCAGAAUGCCACGGUGAAUACGUUCCCGGGCCUUGUACACACCGCCCGUCACUACAUGUGAGUGGGUGCAUAGAGAAGAUAGGUAGCUUCUCUGCAGUCAGAACAGCCUUAUUAGAGCG
This 747-nucleotide ribosomal RNA is filed under the name Klebsiella sp. 7C. Its description in RNAcentral is "partial 16S ribosomal RNA". The stretch from base 237 to 665 matches the Rfam family "Bacterial small subunit ribosomal RNA", at positions 913 to 1385 of the family's 1533-position model. The record is from RNAcentral. Lineage: Bacteria; Pseudomonadati; Pseudomonadota; Gammaproteobacteria; Enterobacterales; Enterobacteriaceae.